CGGACGGGUGAGUAACUCGUGGGAAUCUACCCAGUAGUGGGGGACAACAGUUGGAAACGACUGCUAAUACCGCAUACGCCCUAAGGGGGAAAGCAGGGGAUCUUCGGACCUUGUGCUAUUGGAUGAGCCCGCGUGAGAUUAGAUUGUUGGUGGGGUAAUGGCCUACCAAGUCGACGAUCUCUAGCUGGUCUGAGAGGAUGAUCAGCCACACUGGAACUGAGACACGGUCCAG
Molecule: ribosomal RNA, 232 nt
Filed under: uncultured bacterium
Lineage: Bacteria
Description: partial 16S ribosomal RNA
Rfam family: Bacterial small subunit ribosomal RNA
Source: RNAcentral